Molecule: ribosomal RNA, 564 nt
Filed under: Hormonema sp. YM24953
Lineage: Eukaryota; Fungi; Ascomycota; Dothideomycetes; Dothideales; Dothioraceae
Description: eukaryotic LSU rRNA
Rfam family: Eukaryotic large subunit ribosomal RNA
Source: RNAcentral
GAUGCGUAGUACGGCGAGUGAGCGGCAAUAGCUCAAAUUUGAAAGCUGGCCUCUGGUCCGCAUUGUAAUUUGUAGAGGAUGCUUUUAGGCAGCCGCCGGUCUAAGUUCCUUGGAACAGGACGUCAUAGAGGGUGAGAAUCCCGUAUGUGACCGGCUCAGGCACCUUCUGUAAAGCUCCUUCGACGAGUCGAGUUGUUUGGGAAUGCAGCUCUAAAUGGGAGGUAAAUUUCUUCUAAAGCUAAAUACCGGCGAGAGACCGAUAGCGCACAAGUAGAGUGAUCGAAAGAUGAAAAGCACUUUGGAAAGAGAGUUAAAAAGCACGUGAAAUUGUUGAAAGGGAAGCGCUUGCAAUCAGACUUGGACUUGGCUGUUCAACCGGUCUUCUGACCGGCCCACUCAGUCUUGUCCAGGCCAGCAUCAGUUUCGGCGGCCGGAUAAAGGCCCCGGGAAUGUAGCUGCCUCUUCGGGGGCAGUGUUAUAGCCCGGGGUGUAAUACGGCCAGCCGGGACUGAGGUCCGCGCUUCGGCUAGGAUGCUGGCGUAAUGGUUGUAAGCGGCCCGUCUU